This 63-nucleotide transfer RNA is filed under the name Proasellus hercegovinensis. RNAcentral's name for it is "transfert RNA-R(CGA)". Lineage: Eukaryota; Metazoa; Arthropoda; Malacostraca; Isopoda; Asellidae. The record is from RNAcentral.
GGGCAGGAGGUGGCAAACACACUCUAACUUCGAAUUAGAGAGAGAAAAUUUAUUCCCUGCCCC